Molecule: unclassified non-coding RNA, 274 nt
Filed under: fungal sp.
Lineage: Eukaryota; Fungi
Description: partial internal transcribed spacer region
Rfam family: Eukaryotic small subunit ribosomal RNA (bases 1-46)
Source: RNAcentral
AAGUCGUAACAAGGUUUCCGUAGGUGAACCUGCGGAUGGAUCAUUAUCAAAAGUUAUACCUGUGUCUUGUGAAUUUUGUCAAAGGUGAGCGACAAGUGUUAUUAGUAUUUCUGAGAGCGAUCCCUAUGCGUCUUUUAUGAGUCUCAUGGGGUAUGCCUAUCAGUAUAGUACUAACACUCAUCGCUGGCCAAAACUUAAGCGUUCUAUACUUACUGAUGUCUGUUGACAAUAAUGUUAACUAUUACAACUUUUAGCAAUGGAUCUCUUGGCUCUU